RNAcentral lists this ribosomal RNA (440 nucleotides) under uncultured bacterium. RNAcentral's name for it is "partial 16S ribosomal RNA". It matches the Rfam family "Bacterial small subunit ribosomal RNA", at positions 338 to 795 of the family's 1533-position model. The record is from RNAcentral.
CCUACGGGAGGCAGCAGUAGGGAAUAUUGCUCAAUGGGGGAAACCCUGAAGCAGCAACGCCGCGUGGAGGAUGAAGGUUUUCGGAUUGUAAACUCCUUUUGUUAGAGAAGAUAAUGACGGUAUCUAACGAAUAAGCACCGGCUAAAUCCAUGCCAGCAGCCGCGGUAAUACGGCGGGUGCCAGCGUUACUCGGAAUCACUGGGCGUAAAGAGCGGGUAGGCGGGAUAGCAAGUCAGAUGUGAAAUCCUAGGGCUUAACCAUAGAACUGCAUUUGAAACUGUUAUUCUAGAGUAUGGGAGAGGUAGGUGGAAUUCUUGGUGUAGGGGUAAAAUCCGUAGAGAUCAAGAGGAAUACUCAUUGCGAAGGCGACCUGCUAGAACAUAACUGACGCUGAUGCGCGAAAGCGUGGGGAGCAAACAGGAUUAGAUACCCUGGUAGUC